CCUACGGGUGGCAGCAGUGGGGAAUAUUGCACAAUGGGCGAAAGCCUGAUGCAGCAACGCCGCGUGAAGGAUGAAGGUUUUCGGCUCGUAAACUUCUGUCAACAGGGACGAAAGAAAUGACGGUACCUGAAUAAGAAACCCCGGCUAACUACGUGCCAGCAGCCGCGGUAAUACGUAGGGGGCAAGCGUUAUCCGGAAUUACUGGGUGUAAAGAUUGAGUAGGCGGCAUGGCAAGCCAUAUGUGAAAGCCUUGGGCUUAACCCGAGAAUUGCAUUUGAAACUCUCAAGCUAGAGUACAGGAGAGGAAAGCGGAAUUCCUAGUGUAGGGGUGAAAUGCGUAGAUAUUAGGAAGAACACCAGUGGCGAAGGCGGCUUUCUGGACUGAAACUGACGCUGAGGCACGAAAGCGUGGGGAGCGAACAGGAUUAGAUACCCGGGUAGUC
This 443-nucleotide ribosomal RNA is filed under the name uncultured bacterium. RNAcentral's name for it is "partial 16S ribosomal RNA". It matches the Rfam family "Bacterial small subunit ribosomal RNA", at positions 338 to 795 of the family's 1533-position model. The record is from RNAcentral.